GACGAACGCUGGCGGCGUGCCUAAUACAUGCAAGUCGAACGCUGAAGCGAGGAGCUUGCUCUUCUUGGAUGAGUUGCGAACGGGUGAGUAACGCGUAGGUAACCUGCCUUGUAGCGGGGGAUAACUAUUGGAAACGAUAGCUAAUACCGCAUAACAAUGGAUGAAACAUGUAAUUUAUUUGAAAGGGGGAAGGGUGAAAAGAUAAGUGGGAGGUGCGUUGUAUUAGUUAGUAGGUGAGGUAAUGGCUCAACUAGGCGACGAUACAUAGCCGACCUGAGAGGGUGAUCGGCCACACUGGGAAUGAGACACGGCCCAGACUCCUACGGGAGGCAGCAGGAGGUAAUCUUCCACAAUUAGCCCAACCCUUACCCAUCAACCCCCCAGGACUGAAUAAGGGUUUCGGAUCGUAAAGCUCUGUUGUAAGUCAAGAACAAUGGUUAACAUUUAAAUUUCCCACUGUAACUAUCACUUAACAGAAAGCGACGGCUAACUACCUG
This 497-nucleotide ribosomal RNA is filed under the name uncultured bacterium. RNAcentral describes it as "partial 16S ribosomal RNA". It matches the Rfam family "Bacterial small subunit ribosomal RNA", at positions 28 to 507 of the family's 1533-position model. The record is from RNAcentral.